CGUAAGGUAGAGCAGUUGGUAGCUCGGGUGGCUCAUAACCAUCAGGUCGCGGGUUCGAAUCCCGCCCUUGCAA
This 73-nucleotide transfer RNA is filed under the name Flavobacterium sp. 102. RNAcentral's name for it is "tRNA-Met". It matches the Rfam family "tRNA". Rfam says of the family: Transfer RNA (tRNA) molecules are approximately 80 nucleotides in length. Their secondary structure includes four short double-helical elements and three loops (D, anti-codon, and T loops). The record is from RNAcentral. Lineage: Bacteria; Pseudomonadati; Bacteroidota; Flavobacteriia; Flavobacteriales; Flavobacteriaceae.